CGGCGGAAGGGUGCGUAACGCGUGAGCAACUUGCCCGUGACAGGAGGAUAACCGCUGGAAACGGCGCCUAAUACUCCAUAACAUUAUUUUCGCAUGGGGAAUAAUUGAAAGUUACGAUGGUCACGGAUGGGCUCGCGUGGCAUUAGCUAGUCGGUGAGGUAACGGCUCACCGAGGCGACGAUGCCUAGGGGUUCUGAGAGGAAGGUCCCCCACACUGGAACUGAGACACGGUCCAGACUCCUACGGGAGGCAGCAGUGAGGAAUAUUGGUCAAUGGGCGCGAGCCUGAACCAGCCAUGCCGCGUGAAGGAAUAAGGCCCUAUGGGUCGCAGACUUCUUUUGUGGUGGAGCAAUAAGGACUACGUGUAGUCUGAUGAGAGUACAUCACGAAUAAGCAUCGGCUAACUCCGUGCCAGCAGCCGCGGUAAUACGGAGGAUGCAAGCGUUAUCCGGAUUUAUUGGGUUUAAAGGGUGCGUAGGCGGAGCGUGCAAGUCAGCGGUGAAAUACCAUUGCUCAACAAUGGGGCUGCCGUUGAUACUGCCGUUCUGGAAUGCGCGUGCCGCGGGAGGAAUGUGUGGUGUAGCGGUGAAAUGCAUAGAUAUCACACAGAACACCGAUUGCGAAGGCAUCUCGCGAACGCGUGAUUGACGCUGAGGCACGAAAGCGUGGGGAUCGAACAGGAUUAGAUACCCUGGUAGUCCACGCAGUAAACGAUGAUGGCUAACCGCUGGGUUCAUGGAUUCAGUGGCUAAGUGAAAGCGAUAAGCCAUCCACCUGGGGAGUACGACCGCAAGGUUGAAACUCAAAGGAAUUGACGGGGGCCCGCACAAGCGGAGGAACAUGUGGUUUAAUUCGAUGAUACGCGAGGAACCUUACCCGGGCUCGAACGGCUAGUGAACGAUACAGAGAUGUAGAGUCUC
Molecule: ribosomal RNA, 920 nt
Filed under: uncultured bacterium
Lineage: Bacteria
Description: bacterial SSU rRNA
Rfam family: Bacterial small subunit ribosomal RNA
Source: RNAcentral